This 70-nucleotide transfer RNA is filed under the name Neotoma lepida (desert woodrat). It matches the Rfam family "tRNA". Rfam says of the family: Transfer RNA (tRNA) molecules are approximately 80 nucleotides in length. Their secondary structure includes four short double-helical elements and three loops (D, anti-codon, and T loops). Lineage: Eukaryota; Metazoa; Chordata; Mammalia; Rodentia; Cricetidae. The record is from Rfam by way of RNAcentral.
GGGUGAUAGCUUAGUGGUUAAGAGCACUAACUGCUCUUCCAGAGGACCUGGGUUCAAUUCCCAGCACCCA